This is a non-coding RNA of Cricetulus griseus (Chinese hamster), 1425 nucleotides long. The record is from RefSeq and is a predicted model, not a curated record. Lineage: Eukaryota; Metazoa; Chordata; Mammalia; Rodentia; Cricetidae.
UACUCGCCAUAUAAACAAAAACAAACCAAACCAAAAGCCAGGCACGGUGGCUUUCUUCAAUCCCCCACCAGCAGCACUGGCACCUGAACAACUAUUUGGACGUGCAUUGUGAGGGUUACUCUUCACUGCCAACCUAACUGGAUUCAGAAUCACCUAGGAGACACACCUAUGGACGUGUCUGCAUGGUGUUCACAGAGGAUUAACUGAAGGUGAGCUAUGAUGAGAUGGGUGGACCAUCCCACCGUCAGGGGCCCAGGAAAAUUAAGAGAGGAAAGAGGGAAAGCCAGAUCAGUGCCUGCACUCUCCUUUCUCUGUGUCCUAGUCCGCCAAGCGUGAAUAAAUCCCUGCCCCCACCUCAGCGAGUCACUCGAGCCUCCAUGCCUUACCCACAAUGAACUGCAUACAGAACCCAAACUGUCUUCCUUUUGAUUAUGUAACUGUGUAUGGGGAUGUGCACAUGAGUGCAGGCGCACUCUGAGACCAGGGACACUGAUCUCCCUGGAGCUGGAUACAGGAAGUUGUGACUGGCCUGACACACGGACCAUCUGCAGAAGCAGUAUGCACCCUUAACACUGAGUCGUCGCUCCAGUCUCAGCUGGGAGUUUACUUUCAGCCUCGGCAUAUAGCAGGCAAUAUGAAAUGUUGAUUUCUAGGUCAAAAUAUUUAACCAGGUAGCCUACAAACUGCUUCACGGGGACAGGCGACUAUGUUCAAACAGUCAGAACUCACGGGCUUGCUGAAGAUGCACUGGGCUCCAGCACACUGACCUUAGGAGCUUUUUCAGCUUUCAGCUUUCGAACCACCUCCCCUUGGGCAGCAAUUUUAUCAUACAGAGAUCUAUCUUCCCCAGCGCUGGGCAGUGACUUAGUGGAGGCGCUCUGCGCUGCUGCAGAGGGAGGGUUCCCAGGUUUAUACUCCUGCCCAGUCUUCUGUUUAUAUUCAGCUUUUAAAGCCAGAAGCUGCUUCACAGCUGCAUCUACAUCUUCCUUUGCCGCUUUCUUGGCUUUCAGUUCACGAACCACAUCCCCCUGAGCCGCCACUCUGUUGUAAAGGACGGAGGACUCCUCAGAGGCAGCACAAGGACUCACAGCAGGCACUGGUCCUUCUUUAGGAGCAGAGCUUGUCUAUGGAUGCAGAAAAACAAAAGUCAAGUAUUAAUUCUUGUCAAACAUUGUCACAAGCUUAUAUCAAACUUAGUAUUUCAAAAGCUCAGAUGAAUCAGCUCACACCUAAAAACCUUAUCCCCACAGAGAUGGCAGCAGUAGACAAAGGGAGAAGUAAGCAGUCAUCACAGCAUUGUCAUCACAGUGAAACCCAAGGGAGGAAGAGGGUUCCACAGGAGCUUGUGUCUUUCUCUUUAGAAGAGGAAAGUAGUGUAAUGUAUCCACUCAGGUCAGGAAUAAAUCACUGCUACUCUGACUUAAA